GGCCUUCGGGUUGUAAACCUCUUUUAGUAGGGAAAGAAGCGAAAGUGACGGUACCUGCAGAAAAAGCACCGGCUAACUACGUGCCAGCAGCCGCGGUAAUACGUAGGGUGCGAGCGUUGUCCGGAAUUAUUGGGCGUAAAGAGCUCGUAGGCGGUUUGUCACGUCUGCUGUGAAAACCCGAGGCUCAACCUCGGNCCUGCAGUGUNNACCGGGCAGACUAGAGUGCGGAAGGGGAGANCGGAAUUCCUGGUGUAGCGNUGGAAUGCNCAGAUAUCAGGAGGAACACCGAUGNCGANGGCAGUUCUCUGGGCCGUAACUGACGCUGAGGAGCGAAAGCUGGGGGGAGCGAACAGGAUUAGAUACCCUGGUAGUCC
This 374-nucleotide ribosomal RNA is filed under the name uncultured bacterium. RNAcentral describes it as "partial 16S ribosomal RNA". It matches the Rfam family "Bacterial small subunit ribosomal RNA", at positions 413 to 796 of the family's 1533-position model. The record is from RNAcentral.